RNAcentral lists this ribosomal RNA (801 nucleotides) under uncultured euryarchaeote. Its description in RNAcentral is "bacterial SSU rRNA". It matches the Rfam family "Archaeal small subunit ribosomal RNA", at positions 48 to 859 of the family's 1478-position model. The record is from RNAcentral. Lineage: Archaea; Methanobacteriati; Methanobacteriota.
GCCAUGCGAGUCGAGAGGGUUCGGCCCUCGGCAGACUGCUCAGUAACACGUGGAUAAUCUGCCCUUAGGUGGAGGAUAACCUUGGGAAACUGAGAAUAAUACUCCAUAGAUCUAAGAUGCUGGAAUGCAUUUAGAUUGAAAGCUCCGGCGCCUAAGGAUGAGUCUGCGGACUAUCAGGUUGUAGUCAGGGUAAGGACCUGACUAGCCUACAACGGAUACGGGUUGUGAGAGCAAUAACCCGGAGACGAUAUCUGAGACACGAUAUCGGGCCCUACGGGGCGCAGCAGGCGCGAAACCUUCACAAUGUGCGAAAGCGCGAUGAGGGGAUCCCAAGUGCUUGCACUUAAGUGUAAGCUGUUUCUUUGUUUAAAAUGCAGAGAGAGGAAGGGCUGGGUAAGACGGGUGCCAGCCGCCGCGGUAAUACCUGCAGCUCAAGUGGUGACCGCUAUUAUUGGGCCUAAAACGUUCGUAGCCGGCUGAGUAAAUGCUUGGGUAAAUCGUGCCGCUUAACGGUACGAAUUCCGGGUAGACUGCUCAGCUUGAGACCGGGAGAAGCUAGAGGUACUCCUGGGGUAGAGGUGAAAUUCUGUAAUCCUGGGGGGACCACCAGUGGCGAAGGCGUCUAGCUAGAACGGGUCUGACGGUGAGGGACGAAACCCUGGGGCGCAAACCGGAUUAGAUACCCGGGUAGUCCAGGCGCAAACGCUGCUUGCUUGAUGUUAGCUGGGCUCCGGGCUCAGCUAGUGUCGGAGAGAGUGUAAGCAAGCUGCCUGGGAAGUACGAUCGCAGAUUGAAACUUAA